AUUGAACGCUGGCGGCAUGCUUUACACAUGCAAGUCGAACGGUAACAGGCCUUCGGGUGCUGACGAGUGGCGAGCGGGUGAGUAAUGCAUCGGAACGUGCCCAGAGGUGGGGGAUAACGCAGCGAAAGCUGUGCUAAUACCGCAUGUGAUCUGAGGAUGAAAGCGGGGGACCAGGCAGCAAUGUUUGGCCUCGCGCCUUUGGAGCGGCCGAUGUCAGAUUAGGUAGUUGGUGGGGUAAAGGCCUACCAAGCCGACGAUCUGUAGCUGGUCUGAGAGGACGACCAGCCACACUGGGACUGAGACACGGCCCAGACUCCUACGGGAGGCAGCAGUGGGGAAUUUUGGACAAUGGGCGCAAGCCUGAUCCAGCAAUGCCGCGUGCGGGAAGAAGGCCUUCGGGUUGUAAACCGCUUUUGUACGGAACGAAAAGGCUCUGGCUAAUACCUGGGGCUGAUGACGGUACCGUAAGAAUAAGCACCGGCUAACUACGUG
Molecule: ribosomal RNA, 492 nt
Filed under: uncultured bacterium
Lineage: Bacteria
Description: partial 16S ribosomal RNA
Rfam family: Bacterial small subunit ribosomal RNA
Source: RNAcentral